UCCCGCCAUCGCCCGCAGAACCCCACCCAAACCCAUCGCUCGCUCGCCAAGAUCCAAGGCGGCCGCAGCGGCUGGGAGACUGGGAGGACGCGCGCGGGAGGAGAUCCAAGGCGGCCGACGAAGGCCCCGGCGGCGCCACCGGCCUAGAAGCCCGCGUCCGAUGGCGAUGAGCACUGCUAUACAGCCGAUAUUUUUAGACGACAUGCAGACGACGUUUCCCAUCCAGCCAUCAGUAUUUUGGUCCCUAAAGCAUCUGACGGUGCAAAUUAUUUAUCGGCUGCACAUCGGGCACAUAGUGUCGUGUGCAUAUUCAUUCCGGAUGGCGAUAGGAGCGAGGGCGUCGCCAGCUCGGACACCCCGCUCGCCUUCCCCGAGGGCGACGAGCACGACGAGGCGGCGGCGGCGGAGGACGAGGCCAAGGCCAGCACGCAGGACAAGUGGGCGCAGCAGCAGCAGGCCGGCCCGCCAUGGCAGUGGAGCGGGGGCGACGGCGGCUACUCCUUCAGUCGACUGCAUCUUUUUGUGGCGCUUGGUUACAUUCCGAAUCAGCUACAAAUUCCUCUCACUACGCCCAUGCCCAGAGAUUAGCCAAUAUUUGGGAGAUGAGGUGGCUCAACUAAUUGGAGACAGAACAAGAUGAAGAAGGAAAGUACGGCCACACCAGGGCGACCUGGGAGCAAGAGAUGAUCACCAUCAUCUGGGUGCUAAAGGCCUAGGGAAUUAUAACAUGGUUUUUUUAUAGAAUGGAUGCUCAUGGCGUAGCUUACAGUACCAGGCAACAUCUUCUGUUGAUUACAGUGCCAAAAACUCCAGCAGGCCGCAGGACUCCUACGUUGCUGGCGCCUGUCACUGUCGCUGACGACGCCCUGCGUCCGGCUGGCCGCCAAGGAAUCCGCCAACCCGUCCCAAUUUAGUGUCCCACAUCAUGAGCUCCUCGAAGGUGAGCAGCUGGCCCAGCCUCGCCAUGUAGCACACGGUCUUGGUAGUGGAGAUGUCGACAUUGUCACUGCGGUCGAAGGUGCGGACGGACUCGAGCAACUACGCCCGCUGGUUGAGGUGUGGAGCAUAGGGCGUGAGCACCGGCAUGAUGGUGUGCGCUAGCUCGUCGAACUCAGCGGCCCGCUGACAUCUGUGUUGAUGGCCAGCAGCAGAAGGACUCGUCGCCCGGCGGCCGCAAGCUUAGGGGGGUGGAGCAGGGCGUCGAGAUCGAGACCUGCUGGCGCCUGUCACGCCGUCACUGACUCAGACCACAAGAGUCCUGCUGUGUUCGGCGUCGCGCCCUCCACAUCCUGCAAUAGUGAUCACGAUGCCCCUGCAGAACAAGGUGCCGACGCCUGUCACUGCCCUGCGUCCUGCUCCACGCUGUGCCCAGUGCUGCCACCCUGCUCUGUGUUGUGCCCUCGAUAGGCGCCAUCCUUGGACGCCAUCUCUUCCAACGUAUCUUCAAAAAAGAUUUGUACCCUUCCAAACUGAUAUCAAUUACAUACUCAAGGCAGUUCUAGAUGUCUGCAAGUUUGUGAUCUGCAAGUAUUAUAGUCAAAAGGAUUUCAAUUAUGAUAGGCCGUAGCUUCACUUUACAUCCUCAGGUCAGUUCUAGAUGUCUGCAAGUUUGUGAUUUGCAAGUAUUAUAUGAAAAAGGAUUUCAAUUAUGAUAGUCCGUAGCUUUACUAAUCCCACUGUUAUACUACUAUGUGUGUUCACUGAUGCAUGUGUCUUCAAAUUAUGAUAGGCUGUAGCUGGAUCAAAUGAAGCAGUUUUGCCGUGUGAAUAGCCGUAAAGCGAAACAGAAGCAGCUCACAUGCGCGUCUACUUGUUUUUUUUACUUGCCGUAGCUGGAUCAUUAGCUUGAACGCAAAGCCAUCUAGUCUAUUCUCUGCCCCCAUGAUAUCUUUUCUUAAUUUGGUAGAUUGGUAGAUCAAGUUUUUGCAAGAUGACAACACCACAUGUGUAGUUGCUGACUAUGUUUAUAUCGCAAAAAUAUUAUGGUUGCAAGCAUCUACCUGUCUUAUUCUCAAGGAAGGGCCCAGCCUAUCAUUUGAUUUUAAGUUUGUUAGGAAAUAUGCAACUUGUAUUCCCAUGAGGCCAUAGGCAGAUAUAUAUACAUGUACAGGUGUGGAACAUAUGCAGGAAAUCCCUUAUAC
Molecule: long non-coding RNA, 2141 nt
Organism: Triticum dicoccoides
Lineage: Eukaryota; Viridiplantae; Streptophyta; Magnoliopsida; Poales; Poaceae
Exons: 4
Source: RefSeq, a predicted model, not a curated record